GUUUGAUCCUGGCUCAGGACGAACGCUGGCGGCGUGCCUAAUACAUGCAAGUAGAACGCUGAAGAGAGGAGCUUGCUCUUCUUGGAUGAGUUGCGAACGGGUGAGUAACGCGUAGGUAACCUGCCUUGUAGCGGGGGAUAACUAUUGGAAACGAUAGCUAAUACCGCAUAACAAUGGAUGACACAUGUCAUUUAUUUGAAAGGGGCAAUUGCUCCACUACAAGAUGGACCUGCGUUGUAUUAGCUAGUAGGUGAGGUAAUGGCUCACCUAGGCGACGAUACAUAGCCGACCUGAGAGGGUGACCGGCCACACUGGGACUGAGACACGGCCCAGACUCCUACGGGAGGCAGCAGUAGGGAAUCUUCGGCAAUGGGGGCAACCCUGACCGAGCAACGCCGCGUGAGUGAAGAAGGUUUUCGGAUCGUAAAGCUCUGUUGUAAGUCAAGAACGGGUGUGAGAGUGGAAAGUUCACACUGUGACGGUAGCUUACCAGAAAGGGACGGCUAACUACGUGCCAGCAGCCGCGGUAAUACGUAGGUCCCGAGCGUUGUCCGGAUUUAUUGGGCGUAAAGCGAGCGCAGGCGGUUUGAUAAGUCUGAAGUUAAAGGCUGUGGCUCAACCAUAGUUCGCUUUGGAAACUGUCAAACUUGAGUGCAGAAGGGGAGAGUGGAAUUCCAUGUGUAGCGGUGAAAUGCGUAGAUAUAUGGAGGAACACCGGUGGCGAAAGCGGCUCUCUGGUCUGUAACUGACGCUGAGGCUCGAAAGCGUGGGGAGCGAACAGGAUUAGAUACCCUGGUAGUCCACGCCGUAAACGAUGAGUGCUAGGUGUUGGAUCCUUUCCGGGAUUCAGUGCCGAAGCUAACGCAUUAAGCACUCCGCCUGGGGAGUACGACCGCAAGGUUGAAACUCAAAGGA
This 915-nucleotide ribosomal RNA is filed under the name human gut metagenome. Its description in RNAcentral is "bacterial SSU rRNA". It matches the Rfam family "Bacterial small subunit ribosomal RNA", at positions 11 to 908 of the family's 1533-position model. The record is from RNAcentral.